RNAcentral lists this ribosomal RNA (253 nucleotides) under uncultured bacterium. Its description in RNAcentral is "partial 16S ribosomal RNA". It matches the Rfam family "Bacterial small subunit ribosomal RNA", at positions 524 to 776 of the family's 1533-position model. The record is from RNAcentral.
UACGUAGGUGGCAAGCGUUGUCCGGAAUUAUUGGGCGUAAAGCGCGCGCAGGCGGUCCUUUAAGUCUGAUGUGAAAGCCCACGGCUCAACCGUGGAGGGUCAUUGGAAACUGGGGGACUUGAGUACAGAAGAGAAGAGUGGAAUUCCACGUGUAGCGGUGAAAUGCGUAGAGAUGUGGAGGAACACCAGUGGCGAAGGCGACUCUUUGGUCUGUAACUGACGCUGAGGCGCGAAGGUCAGGGGAGCAAACGGG